UAACCUGCGGAAGGAUCAUUACCGAGUUUUCGAGCUCCGGCUCGACUCUCCCACCCUUUGUGAACGUACCUCUGUUGCUUUGGCGGCUCCGGCCGCCAAAGGACCUUCAAACUCCAGUCAGUAAACGCAGACGUCUGAUAAACAAGUUAAUAAACUAAAACUUUCAACAACGGAUCUCUUGGUUCUGGCAUCGAUGAAGAACGCAGCGAAAUGCGAUAAGUAAUGUGAAUUGCAGAAUUCAGUGAAUCAUCGAAUCUUUGAACGCACAUUGCGCCCCUUGGUAUUCCGGGGGGCAUGCCUGUUCGAGCGUCAUUACAACCCUCAAGCUCUGCUUGGAAUUGGGCACCGUCCUCACUGCGGACGCGCCUCAAAGACCUCGGCGGUGGCUGUUCAGCCCUCAAGCGUAGUAGAAUACACCUCGCUUUGGAGCGGUUGGCGUCGCCCGCCGGACGAACCUUCUGAACUUUUCUCAAGGUUGACCUCGGAUCAGGUAGGGAUACCCGCUGAACUUAAGCAUAUCAAUAGG
Molecule: ribosomal RNA, 526 nt
Filed under: Lasiodiplodia theobromae
Lineage: Eukaryota; Fungi; Ascomycota; Dothideomycetes; Botryosphaeriales; Botryosphaeriaceae
Description: eukaryotic LSU rRNA
Rfam family: 5.8S ribosomal RNA (bases 159-312)
Source: RNAcentral